GCAGUGGUAGCUCAGUGGUUAAGACAUUGAACUUCUGAUGAGAAAGUCAUGACUUCAAAUCUCAGCACUGCC
Non-coding RNA from Pangasianodon gigas (Mekong giant catfish), 72 nucleotides. NCBI's taxonomy places the organism in Eukaryota, Metazoa, Chordata, Actinopteri, Siluriformes, Pangasiidae. The record is from the annotation of a GenBank genome assembly.